Molecule: transfer RNA, 79 nt
Filed under: Hydrogenibacillus sp.
Lineage: Bacteria; Bacillati; Bacillota; Bacilli; Thermicanales; Thermicanaceae
Description: tRNA-Ala
Source: RNAcentral
GGGGCUAUAGCUCAGCCGGGAGAGCGCCUCGGCUUUGCACAGCAGGAGGUCAGCGGUCUGAUCCCGCUUAGCUCCACCA